GAAGGAAGCACUGUCUGGUAUGUAUAGACUGUUAUCUGAGGAGGAGAGGGAGGACUCAUUUUGGGAGACCAUUGAAGACGUGGCCAAUAAACUGUUUCUUAUACCUUGUCUACCUGAAGGACUCCUCUCAUUAGAAGUAACUCUACCUGGUUUUUCAUCACCAACAAUCAUUAUGCCACCAAGAGGAGGUUA
This is a long non-coding RNA of Amphimedon queenslandica, 192 nucleotides long. RefSeq lists it as uncharacterized. The record is from RefSeq and is a predicted model, not a curated record. The transcript is spliced from 3 exons. Lineage: Eukaryota; Metazoa; Porifera; Demospongiae; Haplosclerida; Niphatidae.